GACGAACGCUGGCGGCGUGCCUAAUACAUGCAAGUUGAGCGCUGAAGGUUGGUACUUGUACCAACUGGAUGAGCAGCGCACGGGUGAGUAACGCGUGGGGAAUCUGCCUUUGAGCGGGGGACAACAUUUGGAAACGAAUGCUAAUACCGCAUAAAAACUUUAAACACAAGUUUUAAGUUUGAAAGAUGCAAUUGCAUCACUCAAAGAUGAUCCCGCGUUGUAUUAGCUAGUUGGUGAGGUAAAGGCUCACCAAGGCGAUGAUACAUAGCCGACCUGAGAGGAUGAUCGGCCACAGUGGGACUGAGACACGGCCCAAACCACUACGGGAGGCAGCAGUAGGGAACCUUCGGCAAGAGACGAAAGUCUGACCGAGCAACGCCGCGUGAGUGAAGAAGGUUGUCGGAUCGUAAAACUCGGUUGGUAGAGAAGAACGUUGGUGAGAGUGGAAAGCUCAUCAAGUGACGGUAACUACACAGAAAGGGACGGCUAACUACGUG
Molecule: ribosomal RNA, 497 nt
Filed under: uncultured bacterium
Lineage: Bacteria
Description: partial 16S ribosomal RNA
Rfam family: Bacterial small subunit ribosomal RNA
Source: RNAcentral